UGCUUCCUACGGGGGACAGCAGUGGGGAAUAUUGGACAAUGGGGGGAACCCUGAUCCAGCGACGCCGCGUGAGUGAAGAAGUAUUUCGGUAUGUAAAGCUCUAUCAGCAGGGAAGAAAGAAAUGACGGUACCUGACUAAGAAGCCCCGGCUAACUACGUGCCAGCAGCCGCGGUAAUACGUAGGUGGCAAGCGUUGUCCGGAUUUACUGGGUGUAAAGGGCGUGCAGCCGGGAAGACAAGUCAGAUGUGAAAUCCCGCGGCUCAACCGCGGAACUGCAUUUGAAACUGUUUUUCUUGAGUACCGG
Molecule: ribosomal RNA, 305 nt
Filed under: uncultured bacterium
Lineage: Bacteria
Description: bacterial SSU rRNA
Rfam family: Bacterial small subunit ribosomal RNA
Source: RNAcentral